RNAcentral lists this ribosomal RNA (492 nucleotides) under uncultured bacterium. Its description in RNAcentral is "partial 16S ribosomal RNA". It matches the Rfam family "Bacterial small subunit ribosomal RNA", at positions 29 to 507 of the family's 1533-position model. The record is from RNAcentral.
AGUGAACGCUGGCGGUAGGCCUAACACAUGCAAGUCGAACGGCAGCACAGUAAGAGCUUGCUCUUACGGGUGGCGAGUGGCGGACGGGUGAGGAAUACAUCGGAAUCUACUUUUUCGUGGGGGAUAACGUAGGGAAACUUACGCUAAUACCGCAUACGACCUACGGGUGAAAGCAGGGGAUCUUCGGACUUUGCGCGAUUGAAUGAGCCGAUGUCGGAUUAGCUAGUUGGCGGGGUAAAGGCCCACCAAGGCGACGAUCCGUAGCUGGUCUGAGAGGAUGAUCAGCCACACUGGAACUGAGACACGGUCCAGACUCCUACGGGAGGCAGCAGUGGGGAAUAUUGGACAAUGGGUGCAAGCCUGAUCCAGCCAUACCGCGUGGGUGAAGAAGGCCUUCGGGUUGUAAAGCCCUUUUGUUGGGAAAGAAAAGCAGCAGGUUAAUACCCCGCUGUUCUGACGGUACCCAAAGAAUAAGCACCGGCUAACUUCGUG